CCUACGGGUGGCAGCAGUGAGGAAUAUUGGUCAAUGGACGAGAGUCUGAACCAGCCAAGUAGCGUGAAGGAUGACUGCCCUAUGGGUUGUAAACUUCUUUUAUAUGGGAAUAAAAUGUUCCACGUGUGGGAUUUUGUAUGUACCAUAUGAAUAAGGAUCGGCUAACUCCGUGCCAGCAGCCGCGGUAAUACGGGGGAUCCGCGCGUUAUCCGGAUUUAUUGGGUUUAAAGGGAGCGUAGGUGGAUUGUUAAGUCAGUUGUGAAAGUUUGCGGCUCAACCGUAAAAUUGCAGUUGAAACUGGCAGUCUUGAGUACAGUAGAGGUGGGCGGAAUUCGUGGUGUAGCGGUGAAAUGCUUAGAUAUCACGAAGAACUCCGAUUGCGAAGGCAGUUCACUGGACUGCAACUGACACUGAGGCUCGAAAGUGUGGGUAUCAAACAGGAUUAGAUACCCCUGUAGUC
Molecule: ribosomal RNA, 460 nt
Filed under: uncultured bacterium
Lineage: Bacteria
Description: partial 16S ribosomal RNA
Rfam family: Bacterial small subunit ribosomal RNA
Source: RNAcentral